AUAGUGGUCGUUCAGUGGUAGAAUUCUCACCUUCCACGUAGGAGACCUGAGUUCAAUUCCCAGCCGAUGCA
RNAcentral lists this transfer RNA (71 nucleotides) under Loxodonta africana (African savanna elephant). It matches the Rfam family "tRNA". Rfam says of the family: Transfer RNA (tRNA) molecules are approximately 80 nucleotides in length. Their secondary structure includes four short double-helical elements and three loops (D, anti-codon, and T loops). Lineage: Eukaryota; Metazoa; Chordata; Mammalia; Proboscidea; Elephantidae. The record is from Rfam by way of RNAcentral.